GACUGAGAUUGCCCACCCCUGGGCUAGAAGAUUUUCUUCUUCUUCACCAAGGAAAGAAUUUCACGAUCAUCCACUUUAGUCAUAUUCUGUGGACCUUAAGGGUUUUUUUUUUGGUGUUGCUGACCUGUCGAGAUCAAUCCUCUCAACACCCCCUCAGUAGAUGUCUCCAUUUUCACUCAACUAGACCCCUUAAUAAGGAUGGAGGUUAAUGGAAGGAGUUAUUAAAAAGUCCUCACCUUCCUCCUGGGACCGCUAAAGAGGAAUUAUAUGAAACUAAGUGCACUUACAGCCCCAGACAAGACCUGCGGGAAGAUUCCUCGGAGGUUUCAAGUGGAAAAAAAAAAAGAAAAUUACAGGUUGACGGUGUGGUGGUCCGGGAUACGAGACCUGGAGAAAGAGAUAGGGAUGGGGAGAGAAGUUAAGGAACGAUGUCACAGCUGACAGGG
Molecule: long non-coding RNA, 446 nt
Organism: Maylandia zebra (zebra mbuna)
Lineage: Eukaryota; Metazoa; Chordata; Actinopteri; Cichliformes; Cichlidae
Source: RefSeq, a predicted model, not a curated record